Molecule: ribosomal RNA, 587 nt
Filed under: uncultured bacterium
Lineage: Bacteria
Description: partial 16S ribosomal RNA
Rfam family: Bacterial small subunit ribosomal RNA
Source: RNAcentral
UGGGGAUAUUGCACAAUGGGCGCAAGCCUGAUGCAGCGACGCCGCGUGAGGGAUGACGGCUUUCGGGUUGUAAACCUCUUUCGCUACUGAACAAGGCCCUGCUUGUUGUGGGGUUGAGGGUAGGUGGAUAAGAAGCGCCGGCUAACUACGUGCCAGCAGCCGCGGUAAUACGUAGGGCGCGAGCGUUGUCCGGAAUUAUUGGGCGUAAAGAGCUCGUAGGCGGCUUGUCGCGUCUGCUGUGAAAACGCGGGGCUUAACUCCGCGCGUGCAGUGGGUACGGGCAGGCUAGAGUGUGGUAGGGGUGAUCGGAAUUCCUGGUGUAGCGGUGGAAUGCGCAGAUAUCAGGAGGAACACCGAUGGCGAAGGCAGGUCACUGGCCAUUACUGACGCUGAGGAGCGGAAAACGCANUGGGGAGCGAAGCAGGAUUAGAUACCCUGGUAAGUCCAUGCCGUAAACGUUGGGCACUAGGUGUGGGCCUGUUUCCACGGGUUCUGCGCCGUAGCUGAACGCAUUAAGUGCCCCGCCUGGGGAGUACGGCCGCAAGGCUAAAACUCAAAGGAAUUGACGGGGUCAUAGCUGUUUCCUG